GACAGAGGUUGCAAGCGUUGUUCGGAAUUACUGGGCGUAAAGGGCGUGUAGGCGGUUGAGUAUGUCUGACGUGAAAUCCCUCGGCUUAACUGGGGAAGUGCAUCGGAAACUGCUCGACUGGAGUGCGAGAGAGGGUGGCGGAAUUCCUAGUGUAGAAGUGAAAUUCGUAGAUACUAGGAGGAACACCUGUGGCGAAGGCGGCCACCUGGCUCGUAACUGACGCUGAGACGCGAAAGCGUGGGGAGCAAACAGG
Molecule: ribosomal RNA, 253 nt
Filed under: uncultured bacterium
Lineage: Bacteria
Description: partial 16S ribosomal RNA
Rfam family: Bacterial small subunit ribosomal RNA
Source: RNAcentral